AUUGAACGCUGGCGGCAGGCUUAACACAUGCAAGUCGAGCGGGGUGAUGGUGCUUGCACUAUCACUUAGCGGCGGACGGGUGAGUAAUGCUUAGGAAUCUGCCUAUUAGUGGGGGACAACAUCUCGAAAGGGAUGCUAAUACCGCAUACGUCCUACGGGAGAAAGCAGGGGAUCACUUGUGACCUUGCGCUAAUAGAUGAGCCUAAGUCGGAUUAGCUAGUUGGUGGGGUAAAGGCCUACCAAGGCGACGAUCUGUAGCGGGUCUGAGAGGAUGAUCCGCCACACUGGGACUGAGACACGGCCCAGACUCCUACGGGAGGCAGCAGUAGGGAAUAUUGGACAAUGGGGGGAACCCUGAUCCAGCCAUGCCGCGUGUGUGAAGAAGGCCUUAUGGUUGUAAAGCACUUUAAGCGAGGAGGAGGCUCUUUUGGUUAAUGCCCAAGAUGAGUGGACGUUACUCGCAGAAUAAGCACCGGCUAACUCUGUGCCAGCAGCCGCAGUAA
This 503-nucleotide ribosomal RNA is filed under the name uncultured bacterium. RNAcentral's name for it is "partial 16S ribosomal RNA". It matches the Rfam family "Bacterial small subunit ribosomal RNA", at positions 30 to 523 of the family's 1533-position model. The record is from RNAcentral.